This 412-nucleotide unclassified non-coding RNA is filed under the name soil metagenome. Its description in RNAcentral is "partial contains 5.8S ribosomal RNA, internal transcribed spacer 2, and large subunit ribosomal RNA". The stretch from base 1 to 122 matches the Rfam family "5.8S ribosomal RNA", at positions 35 to 154 of the family's 154-position model. The record is from RNAcentral.
GAUGAAGAACGCAGCGAAAUGCGAUACUUGGUGUGAAUUGCAGAAUCCCGUGAACCAUCGAGUCUUUGAACGCAAGUUGCGCCCGAAGCCGUCAGGCCGAGGGCACGCCUGCCUGGGCGUCACACGCCGUUGCCCCCCCGCGCCCCGCACCCAACUCUUUGGGAGCGACCGCGGGGCGGGCUGAUGAUGGCCUCCCGUGCGCUCCGCCGCGCGGUUGGCCCAAAUACCGAGUCCCCGGCGACGUGCGCCACGACGAUCGGUGGUUGAGAGACCUCUGUCGCAAGUCGUGCGCGCCCGUCGCGUCACGCGGGCUCGCAUAGCGCCUCGCGCCGCACCCGGUGCGGAGCUUUCAACGCGACCCCAGGUCAGGCGGGGUUACCCGCUGAAUUUAAGCAUAUCAAUAAGCGGAGGA